RNAcentral lists this ribosomal RNA (263 nucleotides) under uncultured bacterium. Its description in RNAcentral is "partial 16S ribosomal RNA". It matches the Rfam family "Bacterial small subunit ribosomal RNA", at positions 95 to 354 of the family's 1533-position model. The record is from RNAcentral.
CCGGCGCACGGGUGNGUAACGCGUAUGCGACCUGCCCGUUGCAGGGGGAUAAUCGGGAGAAAUCCCGUCUAAUACCGCGUAACGCCGCGGGGCUGCAUGGCCCUGCGGCCAAAGGGAGCGAUUCCGGCAACGGAUGGGCAUGCGUGACAUUAGCUAGUUGGCGGGGCAACGGCCCACCAAGGCGACGAUGUCUAGGGGUUCUGAGAGGAAGGUCCCCCACACUGGUACUGAGACACGGACCAGACUCCUACGGAAGGCAGCAG